RNAcentral lists this ribosomal RNA (446 nucleotides) under uncultured bacterium. RNAcentral describes it as "bacterial SSU rRNA". It matches the Rfam family "Bacterial small subunit ribosomal RNA", at positions 331 to 794 of the family's 1533-position model. The record is from RNAcentral.
CCAGACUCCUACGGGAGGCAGCAGUGGGGAAUAUUGCACAAUGGGGGAAACCCUGAUGCAGCGACGCCGCGUGAGUGAAGAAGUAAUUCGUUAUGUAAAGCUCUAUCAGCAGGGAAGAAAAUGACGGUACCUGACUAAGAAGCCCCGGCUAACUACGUGCCAGCAGCCGCGGUAAUACGUAGGGGGCAAGCGUUAUCCGGAUUUACUGGGUGUAAAGGGAGCGUAGACGGAAUAGCAAGUCUGAUGUGAAAACCCGGGGCUCAACUCCGGGAGUGCAUUGGAAACUGUUGAUCUAGAGUGUCGGAGAGGCAAGCGGAAUUCCUAGUGUAGCGGUGAAAUGCGUAGAUAUUAGGAGGAACACCAGUGGCGAAGGCGGCUUGCUGGACGAUGACUGACGUUGAGGCCCGAAAGCGUGGGGAGCAAACAGGAUUAGAUACCCGUGUAAC